This is a long non-coding RNA of Oncorhynchus nerka (sockeye salmon), 2057 nucleotides long. RefSeq lists it as uncharacterized. The transcript has 3 exons. The record is from RefSeq and is a predicted model, not a curated record. Lineage: Eukaryota; Metazoa; Chordata; Actinopteri; Salmoniformes; Salmonidae.
GAGAUGAGUUUGAAUUGGUCUGCGGUGUUGUGUCUUUUGUCUUUAAAAUGAGCUGCUCAUAAUGCAUUAAUAAUCCUUUCUACUACAGUUUUUUAGAAAUAUAUUAUGUUAGCCAUGGAGAACUGCAAAUAUGUUGUUACUGCUCUCAAUAACAUUGCUGGCGUGAAUUUAUCAGCUGUUAUCGACAAAAGUCAUGGGGAAAAGGUGUGAUCAUGCCAUGCAAAAUGCUGACUCUCUCAUUUCAUAACACGUUUUGAAAUCAGUGGAACACAACGGACCAAAUAAACUGUGUAAACUAAACAGAAACAACACAAGAUGUCUUAUAAAAGGGGUUGCAGUCUGCCAUUAAGCUUUCAUUAAUGUAUACAGCAUUAAAUCAGUAGAACACGCCUGACUAAUCCACCAGUCAUACAGUCAUCAAAAGAGAGCUGGCCCAAGCAAAAGAAGGCAGCAGCGCAGCCAUCAACUACAUGCACCGUUUUUUCACUAACUACGGAGUUGGUAAAACACUGUGGACCUGAAUUGUAAUAACUGCAGUGGCCAAAACAAGAACAAGUUUGUGCUCUGGUAUUUUGCCUGGUGGACCAUGCACAAGCUCCACCAUAAUCUGGAUCUUCACUUCCUGAUCACAGGCCACACCAAGUUUGCCCCUGACUUUGCUUCGGCCUCAUCAAGCAGCGCUUCAGAAAGACCAGAGUGUACACUUUGUUAGAGAUUGCUGGGGUUGUGAAGGACAGCACUGUGACAGGGGUCAACAUCCCACAGCUGGUUGGACUGGAGGAUGGUACGGUGCUGGUGGAAAGCCAUGGCUGGCAACAACACCUGACUCCCUACUUCAGGCCGCUGCCACAGAUCAAGCAGUGCCAGCCCAUCAGGUAAAUAAAAGCUUCGAUGUUCUGGAGCCUGGUGUUGUUGCCAAGGAGCGUUCGGACUGUCGGGACCAGGUUUCAGCUGCCGCGCAACGCUGACAUCCUUCCUCCCAUAGAUGGUAUGCCUGUAUAAGCACCACCUGGACUGGACAUAGCUAGACAAUAUAUUUUUGACAAGAUUAGGGAGUUGUGCGACGAAGAGGCUAUGGACAUCACAUGCCCUGCACCAAAGUCAAGGACAGGACAGAAACAGGUUCUCCGAAUAUAGAUUCCCUUGUUCAUGCGUGGUUUGGACGGACCAGUCAUCAGCACUAUCUGCAGUGCCUCUAUUCACAUGACUCUCUCCUAACACACACGCCAUAUGUUGCUGAUAUUUUUCUUUAUCCUGCUGCUCAGCCACUUUACCCCUGAUUGUAUGCAUAUAACUACCUCGUCUAUCACUAUUGUUAUUGAUGUUGUUCUUGUACAUACUGUAUAUUUGAUUUAUAUUGACACUAUCUAUUUCUGAUAUUACUACUAUGCAAGUAAACAUUUGGCUUUGGCUGUACCAUUUACAUGUUCUGUAGAGACCAUCCACUCAGCAAGACUUAGCAAAACAUUGAUAUAUAAAAUGAAUAUUGAUGUGUGGUCGUAACAUGAUUUUGUGACAUAACACAACAAUAUCAUGUGUUCGUAUCACGUGACCACCACUUAAAUAUAUGGCGCAUGCAUCUGUUUAUAUACUGUACAUGUGCACCUCACUCAGGUUUCAACUCAGGCAUGGCCUUAACUUAUGUAUGGUAUACUAUGUGAUAAGUGCAUGUGUAACAGUAUAUAAAGUAUGCUAAUGUACUGGUGUGAAGGCAUUUGGGCAGUGGUGUAAAGUACUUAAGUAAAAAUACCCUAAAGUACUAAUUAAGUCGUUUUUUUGUGGUAUCUGUACAUUACUAUUUAUAUUUUUGGCAACUUUUACUUUACUACAUUUUGUAAAGAAAAUAAUGUACUUUUUACUCCAUACAUUUUCCUUGACGCCCAAAAGUACUUGUUACAUGUUGACAGGAAAAUUGUCCAAUUCAAACACUUAUCAAGAGAACAUCCCUGGUCAUCCAUACUGCCUUUGAUCGGGCAGACUCACUAAACACACAUGCUUUGUUUGUAAAUUAUGUUGGAGUGUGCCACUGGCUAUCCAUCAAUAAAAAAUAACUCAAU